This is a long non-coding RNA of Saccostrea cuccullata (small rock oyster), 1756 nucleotides long. RefSeq lists it as uncharacterized. The transcript is spliced from 5 exons. NCBI's taxonomy places the organism in Eukaryota, Metazoa, Mollusca, Bivalvia, Ostreida, Ostreidae. The record is from RefSeq and is a predicted model, not a curated record.
GAAAAACACCAGAAUUGCCUAGGUACAGGGGGCCGCCAUUUUGGACACCCAACAUUGAGCGGAGGAGAAAAGCUGACAGGAGUCCUGAUUGGUCAUUAACCGAAAAUCUUUGUGGUGGAAUUUGACAGUGAAAUAUAAGUGACAAAAAUGAGAUGUGACUUAUUAGAAUAUGUAAAAGGAUAUAGGACUUAUAAAGGAAGACUUGAGAUGAGGGGUGAUAUUUUACUGGACACUUUCAUUCAGUGCGGAUCUACACCAGUUGGAAACGGGCCAAAAUUCAAAGGAAAAACGCCGCGGCAGUGUAUAUUUUUCGUGGUGGAAUUUUGAAGAAGAGGUGUUGGACUUUGCUUUAAAGUGACUGAUUUUUUUAAAAUUGAUUAAAUAAAUAAGUGACAGUGAUUGGAAUUUGUAUGGAAGUCUAUGGGAAAACAUUUAGUGGUGUUUGUCCUAUACAAAGAAGGCAAGAACUACUUUAUAAGAGAUUGACUAACCCUCCCCCCCUCUGGGAUGGGGGCACCCACACCAGCACAUAAGACCUUGAUGGAUUCCCCCGGGCCGUUAUUUGUACUGUGAGCUGCACUGUGCGCCCGACCGUGGAAGUUGCGUGCGAAAGUGACAUUCUUAGGCAGUGAGCGCCUUAGACGCCUGUUGAAGCUCUCCACUUUCUGUGUAUUGGUAUUAAGAAUGGACUUGUCUAGGACUGACGGGGCAAGCCGCCUGUUGACGCAGGUCUGGAGAAUCCUUGCAUUGGCCCUGGAGUAUGGAAUUUUGAAGUUUCCAUCAAGUGAAGACUCAGAAGGCGGUGGAGUGUUGGUGGCCAUAAGUAUUUUGCGUAGCGAUGAACUGCCAAUCGGGGUUUGACUUAGACCUACUUGAAGGCCAUAGUUGACUGUUGCGGGUUUCCUUCCCCUUGAGUUAGUUUGCACUUCCUCAUAGAGGUUGUGCAUUUCGGACACAUAAGGGCACCUGCUGCAUUUUAGCCGAAGUCGAGUACCCAGGCCACGCCUGUCCUCGGAGUCCAUGUCCCAGGUCAGUCUGCCAUCACAGCCAGGAUUGGUCCGCCCAUGUUCUUUAAAGGCUGUAUUGAACAUCUCGCUUGUCUUUCCGAGAUGGACAAGUCUGUGGGAGUCUGAAUCACAGCUGCUGAAACCAGUGUUGUACCUAAUCACUUCCUAGCCAGGGGUCUUGGCCGCAGCAACCGGUGGCACCCAGGCCGCAGCAUCAUUUCCUGCUCCUCACUCACAGAGGGUGGAUGUCUGACCAGUUCCAGGGUUUCCCGGUCUACUCUUGUGAAUGGUGCAGGAAAAACACCAGAAUUGCCUAGGUACAGGGGGCCGCCAUUUUGGACACCCAACAUUGAGCGGAGGAGAAAAGCUGACAGGAGUCCUGAUUGGUCAUUAACCGAAAAUCUUUGUGGUGGAAUUUGACAGUGAAAUAUAAGUGACAAAAAUGAGAUGUGACUUAUUAGAAUAUGUAAAAGGAUAUAGGACUUAUAAAGGAAGACUUGAGAUGAGGGGUGAUAUUUUACUGGACACUUUCAUUCAGUGCGGAUCUACACCAGUUGGAAACGGGCCAAAAUUCAAAGGAAAAACGCCGCGGCAGUGUAUAUUUUUCGUGGUGGAAUUUUGAAGAAGAGGUGUUGGACUUUGCUUUAAAGUGACUGAUUUUUUUAAAAUUGAUUAAAUAAAUAAGUGACAGUGAUUGGAAUUUGUAUGGAAGUCUAUGGGAAAACAUUUAGUGGUGUUUGUCCAUAAAC